This 2331-nucleotide ribosomal RNA is filed under the name Escherichia coli. RNAcentral's name for it is "partial 23S ribosomal RNA". It matches the Rfam family "Bacterial large subunit ribosomal RNA", at positions 606 to 2915 of the family's 2925-position model. The record is from RNAcentral. Lineage: Bacteria; Pseudomonadati; Pseudomonadota; Gammaproteobacteria; Enterobacterales; Enterobacteriaceae.
UUUUGUAUAAUGGGUCAGCGACUUAUAUUCUGUAGCAAGGUUAACCGAAUAGGGGAGCCGAAGGGAAACCGAGUCUUAACUGGGCGUUAAGUUGCAGGGUAUAGACCCGAAACCCGGUGAUCUAGCCAUGGGCAGGUUGAAGGUUGGGUAACACUAACUGGAGGACCGAACCGACUAAUGUUGAAAAAUUAGCGGAUGACUUGUGGCUGGGGGUGAAAGGCCAAUCAAACCGGGAGAUAGCUGGUUCUCCCCGAAAGCUAUUUAGGUAGCGCCUCGUGAAUUCAUCUCCGGGGGUAGAGCACUGUUUCGGCAAGGGGGUCAUCCCGACUUACCAACCCGAUGCAAACUGCGAAUACCGGAGAAUGUUAUCACGGGAGACACACGGCGGGUGCUAACGUCCGUCGUGAAGAGGGAAACAACCCAGACCGCCAGCUAAGGUCCCAAAGUCAUGGUUAAGUGGGAAACGAUGUGGGAAGGCCCAGACAGCCAGGAUGUUGGCUUAGAAGCAGCCAUCAUUUAAAGAAAGCGUAAUAGCUCACUGGUCGAGUCGGCCUGCGCGGAAGAUGUAACGGGGCUAAACCAUGCACCGAAGCUGCGGCAGCGACACUAUGUGUUGUUGGGUAGGGGAGCGUUCUGUAAGCCUGUGAAGGUGGCCUGUGAGGGUUGCUGGAGGUAUCAGAAGUGCGAAUGCUGACAUAAGUAACGAUAAAGCGGGUGAAAAGCCCGCUCGCCGGAAGACCAAGGGUUCCUGUCCAACGUUAAUCGGGGCAGGGUGAGUCGACCCCUAAGGCGAGGCCGAAAGGCGUAGUCGAUGGGAAACAGGUUAAUAUUCCUGUACUUGGUGUUACUGCGAAGGGGGGACGGAGAAGGCUAUGUUGGCCGGGCGACGGUUGUCCCGGUUUAAGCGUGUAGGCUGGUUUUCCAGGCAAAUCCGGAAAACCAAGGCUGAGGCGUGAUGACGAGGCACUACGGUGCUGAAGCGACAAAUGCCCUGCUUCCAGGAAAAGCCUCUAAGCAUCAGGUAACAUCAAAUCGUACCCCAAACCGACACAGGUGGUCAGGUAGAGAAUACCAAGGCGCUUGAGAGAACUCGGGUGAAGGAACUAGGCAAAAUGGUGCCGUAACUUCGGGAGAAGGCACGCUGAUAUGUAGGUGAAGCGACUUGCUCGUGGAGCUGAAAUCAGUCGAAGAUACCAGCUGGCUGCAACUGUUUAUUAAAAACACAGCACUGUGCAAACACGAAAGUGGACGUAUACGGUGUGACGCCUGCCCGGUGCCGGAAGGUUAAUUGAUGGGGUUAGCGGUAACGCGAAGCUCUUGAUCGAAGCCCCGGUAAACGGCGGCCGUAACUAUAACGGUCCUAAGGUAGCGAAAUUCCUUGUCGGGUAAGUUCCGACCUGCACGAAUGGCGUAAUGAUGGCCAGGCUGUCUCCACCCGAGACUCAGUGAAAUUGAACUCGCUGUGAAGAUGCAGUGUACCCGCGGCAAGACGGAAAGACCCCGUGAACCUUUACUAUAGCUUGACACUGAACAUUGAGCCUUGAUGUGUAGGAUAGGUGGGAGGCUUUGAAGUGUGGACGCCAGUCUGCAUGGAGCCGACCUUGAAAUACCACCCUUUAAUGUUUGAUGUUCUAACGUUGGCCCGUAAUCCGGGUUGCGGACAGUGUCUGGUGGGUAGUUUGACUGGGGCGGUCUCCUCCUAAAGAGUAACGGAGGAGCACGAAGGUUGGCUAAUCCUGGUCGGACAUCAGGAGGUUAGUGCAAUGGCAUAAGCCAGCUUGACUGCGAGCGUGACGGCGCGAGCAGGUGCGAAAGCAGGUCAUAGUGAUCCGGUGGUUCUGAAUGGAAGGGCCAUCGCUCAACGGAUAAAAGGUACUCCGGGGAUAACAGGCUGAUACCGCCCAAGAGUUCAUAUCGACGGCGGUGUUUGGCACCUCGAUGUCGGCUCAUCACAUCCUGGGGCUGAAGUAGGUCCCAAGGGUAUGGCUGUUCGCCAUUUAAAGUGGUACGCGAGCUGGGUUUAGAACGUCGUGAGACAGUUCGGUCCCUAUCUGCCGUGGGCGCUGGAGAACUGAGGGGGGCUGCUCCUAGUACGAGAGGACCGGAGUGGACGCAUCACUGGUGUUCGGGUUGUCAUGCCAAUGGCACUGCCCGGUAGCUAAAUGCGGAAGAGAUAAGUGCUGAAAGCAUCUAAGCACGAAACUUGCCCCGAGAUGAGUUCUCCCUGAGACUUAGAGUCUCCUGAAGGAACGUUGAAGACGACGACGUUGAUAGGCCGGGUGUGUAAGCGCAGCGAUGCGUUGAGCUAACCGGUACUAAUGAACCGUGAGG